AAAGUUCCUCUCACUCCUUUUUAAAAUCCCCUUUAAGGUACUGGUCUUCAAUGAGGUCUCCCUGAAGCCUUCUCUUCUUCAUGCUUUACAAUCCCAGUUUUAAAAAUGGAAGUGAUGUUUACCUUCUUCCAGUCACUGAGGACUUUGCCUGACCACCAUGAAUUUAUAAAUAUGAUGGAGAGUAGUUGGAAACCACAUCAGCUGGUUCUCUCAAGACCCAGGGAUAUUUGUCAUUGUGCAAGUUUUGAGCUGGCUUCCCACCAAGUCUCCAAAACUUGACAAAAAGGCCUGCUUCCCAGAGAGGGAAGAAAAAAAAUGAACCACAGGGAAAAAAACUGAAAGAAGUUUGAACAAAACUGAAUUCUAUCAAAAAUAUAUAUUUACAAUUAUAUAUAUACAAUUUGAAUAUAUUAUCCACAACAGGGAGCUCCUGAGGGGGGAAAAAAGGAAAAGGGAGGGGGAAACAGGGAUAAAAAGAAGCCUAAAACCAAAUAUCUCCUAAAUAUACCCGUUAAUAGAGAGCUAGUCAAUAAAUAUAAAAAUGAAUUAAAUACUUCCCUGAUCGGCACAGCAGAGCUGUGCAAGGCAGCAGCCACCUCCCCCACACCUCCCGGAGAGACCGGAGAUAAUGGCAGGUCUGAGUAGCAGGCCCUGGCCUAUAUAAGCAAAGCCCAUCUACAGAGAGACCUGUCGCCUUCAGCCACUGGAAGAGAGAAGAGAGCGAACUCUCUUAUCUGCACCUUUUUAUAUGUUGUGUUACGGAAAGGAAUAGCAUGGAAUACUUCCUAAGUCACUACCCUAGUUCCUUCCUGGUUACAAGCUGGUCUCCAGGAAGGCCUAGGGUGAAAACUAUCACAGUCAUCAGGUCCCAUAGAAGUGUGGCUAUUCAGCUUCAUCAAGUGGUCCCAAACCCACUUUUCACUUAUAAUGGGAGGAACUUCACCCACACCCACCCAGAGGAUCAGGGAUGUGAGAGAAGUGGGAAGCAUGACUGCCGGGGAAGACUGAGGCAAAGAACCCAUUGAAAGCCUCAGCCUUCUCCGCAUGAGUCACCGCCAAUUCACCCCUCUUGCUUACUGGGAAGAUUCUUGAAGUUCUUUGCAGACACAAUGGAGGAUGUGAGUUCAAAGGAAAAUGUGACUGGAAAUGUUACACUUCGAUGAAAAAUGCUUAUGCUCGUUUCCUCAGCACUUGUGAAUGAACUCCUCAGAUCUCUCUUUAUAACACUGUAGAAAAGAAAAUUGUGGCUUUGGCUCAUUUGUUGUUCAAAUUGUUAACUGAUUUGCAAAUGCAAGACGAAAUACUUUUCUGACUUGUGCCUCUGCAAGGAGAGAAGGUUUCUUGGGAUCUGAUCAAAAGAAGAGAAAACAAAGCAAGACUUGCAGAAGUUAAAAUUUGUCUCCAACCAUCUUUGAUUUUUUACUGCUGGAAGUGGUACAUCAGCAGGAACCAAGAAUAAUACAAGUAUACAGUCUGGCUUUCAAAUCCCAGCAGAACUUUCAGACCUGAUGGUAGAAGUGCUUUAUCCCAGAUCACAACUCACGUCAUUCCCUCGUUGGUUCUGCAGUAGAGUUAUGAGAACUAAAUAUGCGCACGCACGCACGUGUGUGCACCGUGUAGGGUGUGCACUGCAGCUUUUGCAUGAUCAACAAACAUUUGGCAGCUAUCAAACAUAACAGCUUCCUCUUCUCAAGUCUAAUGACAGCCUUUUCUUUUGUACUCCAACCAUAAUUGUUAAUGCAUUAAAGAGCAAUCUAUGCCUUCAUAUUUGAAGGCAUGAAAGUU
Long non-coding RNA from Pseudopipra pipra, 1785 nucleotides. RefSeq lists it as uncharacterized. The transcript is spliced from 2 exons. The record is from RefSeq and is a predicted model, not a curated record. Lineage: Eukaryota; Metazoa; Chordata; Aves; Passeriformes; Pipridae.